This 567-nucleotide ribosomal RNA is filed under the name uncultured bacterium. Its description in RNAcentral is "partial 16S ribosomal RNA". It matches the Rfam family "Bacterial small subunit ribosomal RNA", at positions 356 to 912 of the family's 1533-position model. The record is from RNAcentral.
UGGGGAAUUUGGACAAUGGGCGAAGCCUGAUCCAGCAAUGCCGCGUGUGUGAAGAAGGCCUUCGGGUUGUAAAGCACUUUUGUCCGGAAAGAAAUCCUUGGCUCUAAUACAGUCGGGGGAUGACGGUACCGGAAGAAUAAGCACCGGCUAACUACGUGCCAGCAGCCGCGGUAAUACGUAGGGUGCAAGCGUUAAUCGGAAUUACUGGGCGUAAAGCGUGCGCAGGCGGUUUGCUAAGACCGAUGUGAAAUCCCCGGGCUCAACCUGGGAACUGCAUUGGUGACUGGCAGGCUAGAGUAUGGCAGAGGGGGGUAGAAUUCCACGUGUAGCAGUGAAAUGCGUAGAGAUGUGGAGGAAUACCGAUGGCGAAGGCAGCCCCCUGGGCCAAAUACUGACGCUCAUGCACGAAAAGCGUGGGGAGCAAAACAGGAUUAGAUACCCCGGUAGUCCACGCCCUAAAACGAUGUCAACUAGUUGUUGGGGAUUCAUUUCCUUAGUAACGUAGCUAACGCGUGAAGUUGACCGCCUGGGGAGUACGGUCGCAAGAUUAAAAACUUAAAGGAAUUG